Molecule: ribosomal RNA, 1360 nt
Filed under: uncultured bacterium
Lineage: Bacteria
Description: 16S ribosomal RNA
Rfam family: Bacterial small subunit ribosomal RNA
Source: RNAcentral
UUAGAGUUUGAUCCUGGCUCAAAAAGAACGCUGGCGGCGUGGAUAAGACAUGCAAGUCGAACGAGAGAAUUGCUAGCUUGCUAAUAAUUCUCUAGUGGCGCACGGGUGAGUAACACGUGAGUAACCUGCCCCCGAGAGCGGGAUAGCCCUGGGAAACUGGGAUUAAUACCGCAUAGUAUCGAAAGAUUAAAGCAGCAGUGCGCUUGGGGAUGGGCUCGCGGCCUAUUAUUUAGUUGGUGAGGUAACGGCUCACCAAGGAGAUGACGGGUAGCCGGUCUGAGAGGAUGUCCGGCCACACUGGAACUGAGACACGGACCAGACACCUACGGGUGGCAGCAGUCGAGAAUCAUUCACGGUGGGGGAAACCCUGAUGGUGCGACGCCGCGUGGGGGAAUGAAGGUCUUCAGAUUGUAAACCCCUGUCAUGUGGGAGCAAAUUAAAAAGAUAGUACCACAAGAGGAAGAGACGGCUAACUCUGUGCCAGCAGCCGCGGUAAUACAGAGGUGUCAAGCGUUGUUCGGAAUCACUGGGCGUAGAGCGUGCGUAGGCUGUCUCGUAAGUCAUGUGUGAAAGGCGCGGGCUCAACCCGCGGACGGCACAUGAUACUGCGAGACUAGAGUAAUGGAGGGGGAACCGGAAUUUUCGGUGUAGCAGUGAAAUGCGUAGAUAUCGAGAGGAACACUCGUGGCGAAGGCGGGUUCCUGGACAUUAACUGACGCUGAGGCACGAAGGCCAGGGGAGCGAAAGAGAGUAGAUACCCCUGUAGUCCCGGCAGUAAACGGUGCAAAAAGGGUGUGCGGGGAAUGGCCCCCCUCCGUGCCGGAGCUAACGCGUUAAGCGUGCCGCCUGGGGAGUACGGUCGCAAGAUUAAAACUCAAAGAAAUUGACGGGGACCCGCACAAGCGGUGGAGUAUGUGGCUUAAUUCGAUGCAACGCGAAGAACCUUACCUGGGCUUGACAUGUAAUGAACAACAUGUGAAAGCAUGCGACUCUUCGGAGGCGUUACACAGGUGCUGCAUGGCCGUCGUCAGCUCGUGUCGUGAGAUGUUUGGUUAAGUCCAGCAACGAGCGCAACCCCUGUUGCCAGUUACCAGCACGUGAAGGUGGGGACUCUGGCGAGACUGCCCAGAUCAACUGGGAGGAAGGUGGGGACGACGUCAGGUCAGUAUGGCCCUUAUGCCCAGGGCUGCACACGUACUACAAUGCCCAGUACAGAGGGGGCCGAAGCCGCGAGGCGGAGGAAAUCCUAAAAACUGGGCCCAGUUCGGACUGUAGGCUGCAACCCGCCUACACGAAGCCGGAAUCGCUAGUAAUGGCGCAUCAGCUACGGCGCCGUGAAUACGUUCCCGGGUCUUGUACA